Molecule: long non-coding RNA, 9725 nt
Filed under: Marmota monax (woodchuck)
Lineage: Eukaryota; Metazoa; Chordata; Mammalia; Rodentia; Sciuridae
Source: RNAcentral
GCAGGAGGGGAAGAUGAGCCGAGUCUGAGAUAGACCUUGGGUGUGAGUCUGGAGUUAGUCCUGGAUCUGUGCUGGAGGCGCACACAGGCGGGAGCCGUCGUCAAGCAUGCGGGAAGUCGUCAUCCUCCUGGUCCUCCUGGGUGCCACCUCAGGUGGGAGCUCCAUUUUGCUUUGGAACCUUGCAGGGCCUACUUGGUUUGCAGGAUACCAUGGUGUGAUAAUGUCUUCCAUGGUGGGCUUAUCUGCAAUGAUGAAUCAGACGCAGCAGCUUCAGGAGGCCUGGGGGCUGGCACAGGGGGUGCAAGAGAGAGGUGCUCCGAGAACCACCAUCUAGUCUGUUCUACAGACUUCACUCUCCCCCGUGCUCUGACUGGCUUGUGCUGGAACUUUCAUAGCAGCGAUCUGUGCACAUGUCAAGUCAGGCUUUAUGGAGUUUAUGGCUCCUCUCUGGAGCCUUGGGGGACAACCUGAGGCUGGCAAGUCUGGGGAAACUGAGAUCCUUAGAGGCCACUGUCUUUGUAUGGAACAAAGAAAACACCUUCUGAUAGAAAGAACCAAAAAUUCAGCCUAAUCCUUCUUAUACCCCCCCUCUUUCUUUUUUUUAAAUUUUUUUUUAAAUUUGUUUUUAACAUUUAGUUUUUAGUUUUCGGAGAACACACUUGUUUAUAUGUGGUGCUGAGGAUCGAACCCGGGCCGCACGCAUGCCAGGCGAGCGUGCUACCGCUUGAGCCACAUCCCCAGCCCCUACCCCCCUCUUUCUUAAUCAAGAGCUUUAAGAACUGGAUGAUCUUUUUUGAUGUUGUCAGUUUGGAUUAUUGAACUUGAGAUUUUUAAAUUCUUUUAUUUUUGAGUAGGUCGUUUAUGCAUAAUGUAUGGAAUUCAAUCAUGUUAAUUUGUAGAUUAAUUUAGGGAUCAUUUACAUCUUGGAUGAGUUAUGUAGUCAAAUACUUAGGGGAGUGUCUGGAACAUAGUAAAUGCUUAGUAAAUGUUAGUGAUUAUUAUUUGUGCAGCUGAGUCUUCCUGACUGAGGAGCAGUGUUCUAGAUACUUGUUCAAGUCUUCCUUUGUUUUCCUCAGGAGUAUUUUAAGGUUUCCUUCAUAUAGAUAUUGCACAUUCUGAUCAUGGCUAUUUCUAGUGCUUUCCUUUUUCUAUUUUUACAUGUGAAGAUGGAAUCUUUUCUUCCCUUGUCUUUUAACUUAUUAUUGUAUGAUAUAGGAAAUCUAUUAGUGCAUUAUCUCACCAUUUAUGAUCUUCUUAGUUGAUUCACAUGCAUUUUCCAGGUUUGAAAAGAAUGAACAUUUCUACUCUUCCUCUCCUAUUUUUAUACCCUCUAUUUCUCCCUCUUAUCUAAUUGCCAGGCCUAUGCCUGCAGACCAUUGUUAAAUAAUAAGAGUGUGCAUUUCUGUCCUGUUCCACACUAAACAUGAUGCUAGCUUUCAGAGCGAGAGAAAUGUUUGACAUACUAAGGGGUUAGCCUUUGUUCUUGUUUUAUUGGGAGUUUUUCUAAAUAAAAAUGGAUUUUUAAGUCAAAUGCUUUUUUAAUGAUCUAUGGAAAUGACCAUUUGAUUUUCCUCUUUGAUCUGCUAACCGAAUAAAUGCCUGGGUUUCCUAAAGUGGAGGCUUCCUUCAACUUGGGCUUUCAGACCCUGCAGGGAGCAGGUGGAACUGUGUAGAGAAGCAGUCCUUGAGCAGCCCAGCCUCUUGCUUGAAGUAAACAUUGCAGUUUCUGCAGAAGUAUGGGCUUUUAGGCCAUAAUCAUUUGAGUUAAGGGGUGACAUUUAUUGUCACUGUGGCGGGGAGAGUGAGGUUAGGAAGAACCCAGUGCCUCCUACUUGAACACUACCAUUUGGAUCUUUAUUAUCAGAUGUGUGAGAGGAGCAGAUCACAAAGGUAUGCAAUAAAUAUUUUAUAUAUAUAAUUUAAAAAGAUAAUUCUCUGGAGGCUUUCUCAAAAUAUCCACAUCUUCUGCUCAUAGUGGGUCCCCAAAGACCAUGGAUUUUAUCAUGCUUUUACUUCCACAGUUCAAAUCCUAGUUUUGGAAGGGCUAUCAGAAUGCAAACUCUCCAUCUCUCAACUUUUGUGAGUCCAAGUACCUGAUCAUGACGCUCCUGAUAUUGCACAUUUUUUUUGGGGGGGGGGCUACUGGGGAUUGAACUCAGGGGCACUCAACCACUGAGCCACAUCCCCAGCCCUAUUUUGUAUUUUCUUUAGAGACAGGGUCUCACUGAGUUGCUUAGUGCCUUCCUUUUGCUGAGGUUGGCUUUGAACUCUUCCUGCCUCAGCCUCCUGGGCCACUGGGAUUAUAGACGUGCACCACCCCACCUGGUGAUAUGGCGCGUUCUGAUCAUGUAUAUUUCUAGUGCUUGAACACUAGGGUGACAGGGGAUUCUGGGGGCAAGGGCAUACAUAUCAGCACCUGCCUUCAGCAUGCAGGAAGUAGGCAUCACUGUACACUCUCAAAUAAACUAACAUCCUCUCAGGCUUCUCUUCUCUUUCCUCGGGCCCUAUGCUUCUUUCGAGGACCAGUUCAAGCCCCACCGCCCUGUGGAGCUGCUCUAUCUUGGGAAGAGCCCUCUUCCCACUGCACCCCGGAGCUCCUCUUGCCUGCAUGACUGCUGUGUGCCAACCGCUUGGCACAGUGCCCCACACACUCAGUGGCACUCAGCAAAGUUAGCAGGAGCUGUCAUUCUGUAAUCCAUUUGAUAUGCGCCUGUCCCGGCUCUUCAACCACACUGCCAUCCCUGCCAUAUCAGGUUUAAUGUUUACUAUUACCUUGUAGGUCCUGAGUGCCACACAGAGGAGACCCAAUAAAUGUUUGUCAUUUCAUCAACCACCAUGCCUUCUGAAUCUAGUGUGGGUUGAUUUAUUUUUUUCCCCACUUACUGAUUACCCCCUCACCAAAUGCAGAAUUUUAGAUUUAUUUUUCUGCCUGCUUCAUGUUGGCAUUUAAAAAAAAAUGGAGGCUUUCUCAAAAUGUCCACAUCUUCUGUGCAUAGUGGGUCCCCACAUGUGUGAGGCAAGCACUCUAUGGCUGAGCCACAACCCCAGCCCCUUCAGUUUGGCAUUUAAAUUAGCUUCUGUCCUUUUCAUCUCCUAUUAGGAUGAAGGAAAUGAAAGUUUCUCUUUGGGAAGGGAUCAUGUCCCAUUCUAAUAACAACUUACAAAGAAAGCACCCCUCCCCAGACUGCAAAAAAAAAAAAAAAGUAGAUGAAACUCUCAACUGUAUUCAUGGGAAAGGGUUGAGACAAAAUAGCCUUCUCGAGCUGCCUCAGCACUGAAGAACCACCUGUAAUUCUCAGAAGAUGAAGGUCCUAUUAAAGAAGCCUUGGUGUAUUUGAACCCACUGCACUUAGAACCUGUCUACAUUUCGAGAAAGUCUCCAGGGGACUAGCUUUUGUAUUGCUCUCAUGGAAAUAGAACAUUCCAGGGUUUUUACGGAGAGAAGGGUUCCUCGGUGAUGGAGAUCUCCAUGAACAUGCAAAGGUACCAAGCCAUCUGCCUGACUUUUGUCCAUAGCUGCAAAGCUAUGCCUAGUCUCUCCAGGAAGUCCCUGAGCCCAUCUUCUGGGCUUGGUACUUUGCUAGGCAAUGUCAAGAAGUCAGAAAAAGUCCAAGAUUCAAUGUCUUAUGCCCCUAGAGAAACUAGGUAUAACUGUUUCUUAAUGCUCUCUUCAUUGAAAAAGGCAGGAAGAUGCAGUCUAUUUCCAGAAAGUCUUUCUCAAACACUGGAGUGAGGGCUCAAGUCCCUGGAACCCACCUGCUUUUCACCUUUGUGGAGCUGGUAAAGGUUUGAAAGAAACCAACCCUUCUCAGAUCAGAACCUGAGUGAUGUUCCAAGGCAAGCAAAUUUUUCUCUUGCCAAUUAUAAUAUAGUGCCAUGUCCAGAAUCAUUGCGAGAGUUCUCUUCUUUUCCUCUGUGUCCAAUUAAGGGCUCUGGUCUAUCAGUCUUUUCUGCAUGGAUCAGCUCUUCCAAAAGGAAAGGCAAGCAUCCCAUUCAGAAAGUACACAUGGCGGAAAUGAGAGCAAUAGAAAAACGUUGCACAUACCCAAACAAACAUUCUGUCAUCUUUCAUAGUUUACUGAAUAUAGGAUUUUCAUUUAUGGUAUCUGGGCUGUAACCAUGAGUUCUAGCAGUCCUGGUAUGAGCCUGAGUUGUUUUGCUAAAGUUCCUGCACCAUGCUGACCCUGAUCAAGGCGUGAAGCAAUGCUGCUUAGUAAUGUGGUUUUGUAACCAUGGGUCCUAGGAGUUUCUGCAUGGUUUGUACCUGCUUGUAAGCAUUGUUUAAUUGAUAACAGUGAGAUUGAUGAUUUGCACCUGGUCUCACCUAGAACCUCACGAGGCUGUGCUGUUGAGGCUGGUUAUAUAGCAAGAAUGUGCCUACAGCAAAAGAGAAAAAAUUCCAGCAGAGGCUCCAUUUUGGGUACUGUGUUUCCAAGGUACUUGCUAUGUUUUGAAUGUGUCUCCCAAAGUUCAGGUCUUAGAAGCAGUUCCCACUGAGAAUAGCAAUGAGAGAUGGAAUCUUUAAGAGAUGAUCAGGUCAUUAUUGUGGAAGCUAAAUGCCAUUAUGAUGGGAGUGGGUUUGAUGCUAAGGGAGUGGGCUGGACUUCUCUCACAGAACAGUGCCUUCUGCUACAUUAUGAAAAAGCAGGAAGGCCCCUCAAUUCGGAUUUUCCAGCCUCCAGAACUGUGAGCCAAAUAAACUUCCAUUGCUUAUAAAUUACCCAGUCUGUGCUCUUCUGUUACUUGCAGCACAAACUAAGAUGGCAUUUGUGCUUACAUCUGUGAUUCCUGACCUGACAAAGUGUAUCCUGCAUGUUCCUUAGAAAAAAAGGGACAACAGGAGCUUACUUCCAGCCCUUCUGGAUCUCUUGCUAUGAGGCAUCGUUCAGAGGUGAUUAAGUAUCCUCACUUUAAUGUUCUUGCUAUGUUGUAUUUUUUUCUUAUAAUAAAACUGUAGAUUCGCAAAAUUAUCACUGGGUCCUGGGCAAGUUCACUGGCAGUAGAACCUGUUUAAAAGCCCCUGUUGGUGUGGCACUGCAUCCCUGAAAGACAGUUGAUAGGGAAGCUCAGGCAGGGCCCAGCCCACUGUCACACAAUCAAGUAGCAGCAAAGCCAAAGCCAGAAGCAAGAGCUAAUUUCAAGUCCCUUGCUCCUUUCACAACUCUGAUUUCUUUUACUACUAUUUCGAUUAGCUACUAGAGAGUGGCACCUCAGAGAGUGGCACUAUUCUCUCUGUGUACUGAAAAGAGGUACAAGUUAGAGCAGCCACAUCCCUAGAAGGAGAAGGUGGCCUCACCCCACAUCCUGAAUCCAUGUCACCAUUUAUGGGGUUGGGGGCCCAGGGCAGUCACAUCCUCCCCUGUAACUGAGGCUGAGGAGACCUUGCCUCAACACAGACUCCUGGGAGGAGGCCCCAGGAGCUGUUUCUGGAAAGUCAGUGAUUCAGGGGAAACAAGUGAGCACGUCAAGCACCCAGAUCUCAAGCACAAGAGACAAGCUGCAGUGGGCUCAGGGACCGAUACUAGAUCUCCUGCAGGCCUUUUCUUUUUCAAAGUGUAACCUUCAAGCAAUUCUAAUUUGAGCAUUAAUUAAGAUUCAUGUGUAAGUCAAAUUCCAUUAAACCCUCAUUCCUGCUCUUCAGUAUUCAGACCAUAAAAUAAAGCCUUCUGGAAAAGUGCAGUGUCUUCCAAAGACCUGGCCCUUGGCCUCUAACCUGCCCUCUGCCACUGCUCAGUGGGGUGCUUUGGGUACACAGCUCAAACUUAUCUGUGUAAUGAAUGGAUUGACCAUUUUUGAACACUGCAUCUUACUAAUUGCUCUAUUUAUAGCACGAGUCACUUUUUAAAUUAUUGCUAUUGCUAUUACUAGUACUUUUUUUUUAAAGCAAAGAAGCUGGAAAAACUGGGUAUUUAGAUUGCAGUGGGUCUACCUUUCUUAUCAGUAUCCACAGAAUGUCUGCCUUAAAGCUUUUGGAUUCAGGUGCACAAUCCUGGAACACACAACUGUACCCUGGGAAGAGAGGUCACCAGCCAAGCAGAACAUUACCAGCAAGAAUGUCCGCAGAAUGGGCAUAUCCAAGGACAGUUUGGCUCUAGCCACAAGUGGAGCAAACAGUUUUCAAUACAAAUUGCUUGAGGUCAAGGGAUCUAUCCACUUCUCCUUCCAAAAUAUCUCCCUCACUACAAAAAUGACCAUUCCAGGAAGACUAUGAAAAGAUAUAUAUAUAUAUAUAUAUAUAUAUAUAUAUAUAUAUAUAUAUAUAUAUAUAUAUAUAUAUACCACACACACACAUACAUACAUACAAGGAGGCAGUAUAGAGCUGUCCUUGAGUCAGAUGUCUUGUGUUGGAAUGCUGGUGUUCUUUCAUGACAUUAGUCUCCCAGACAUAGUAAUGCCAAAGUCAUGAUCAAUGCAACAAAACCAAGGGAUACUCUCCCAGCAGAGCAAACCAGAACUGUCAGCAGACAAUAUAUGGGGAUGACAGCUUCUCGGUUUCCCUCAGCUCCUCAAAGGGAAUGCAUCAAGUUUGGUGGCCAUGAGAAUCUGCCUAUACAGGGCGAGGCUGUAGAAAAAUCCAACUGGAGCUUAGCAAGCUGCUUAUCCAUGAAUCCCCAGCAAGCUCAUUUCCCAGCCCAAUUCUUUAUGUUAUUCUAACAAACAAACAAACAAACAAACAAAAAAACCAGCCUCUUGUAGAUCACAUCAUCCAGAUUUAGCAUCCAGGUGGAAGGUCCAAUUUCUUAUCAAGCCCUGGAGCCAUGUUGCUGCAGUGUUCCCAAGUGACAGAAUAACUACUGUGUGUCCCAGGUACAUGGCUGUGUUGCAGAUACAGAGCAACAGACUCUGUGGUAGGUAUGGACUGUCAGUUAUCUACAAGAUCCAGAGGCAGGAAGCCAAGCCCACCACAGUCACUUACUGAGUGUGUGAUGACUUCAGGUAUGUUGGGAGUGGACGCCAUAGGUAGGAAAGCCCCUGGCACUGUGCCUGGUGAGGUGAGGUUUGGUAAAUACAGGUGGUUAAUUGCUUCAAUCUGUUCAUUUGGGUGGGGCAGGCUAUUCAUAAAAAUAAAAAAUAAAAAAUUUUAAAGUAGCAAGUUAUGUCUUUGCUCCUCAAUGGAGGGGCACAAGUCACUGGGGCGCAAGGAGGGGUGGAAAGGAGUACGGGCAAGAAGAUGGGGCCCUAGAAAAUUAAGUGCCAAUCUCUGAUUCUGCUGUGGUUGCCCUUGUCUUGCUAAGCAGUGAGGAAACUGUCAUGAACAGCUUGGGGGGUGCCCUGGUGAGUUUUGCUUGUGGUCAAAAGAAUGUGAGCACGUUAGGCCUAAAAACUUUGUCCAACCAAAGGGAUUCAUUACUCUGCUCAUUUUGAAAAACUCUUCAUAGAAGCAUUUCAUCUCUAAAUAUUCCAGCCAUACUCUUUAGCUCCUGGUUUUUAUUGCAAAACUGCUAUUAUAUCAGAGUCAAGGUAAAUAGAUGUAAAAAGCUACUCAUAACCACAUCACCCGAAACCUCGGCUGUUUGCAUGUGUGAGUCCUUACACAGUCCCUGCGUAUAAAGCGUGAUAAUUCUGUGAGCAAAAAUAAAAAGUAUGCAUUUUAAUCUCUAAGCUGAAAGUUUGUAUUCAUGAUGUGCUUCUAUUUCAAUUUUUCUCACACUUCCAUGUAUUCCUCUGCAUCCCUCCCUUGCUGAAAUAAAAGCAUCCCCUGAUAAAGCCAAACCUUUCCCCAGGACUUGACUGUCUCUAGAAUCUUCACACCUUUCAGUAGGACAGAUCCUUCUACUGUCCCUCCUUACCCCUUUGUCUCCUACCAUUCUGGGAGUUUGGAUCCCAGUGGCAGAUGGUGGUCAAGAAGGGGAAGCUGACUGGGAAGUAGGACCUCAGCGUAAGUCUUGGCUUUGUUAUUUGUUAUUUGCUAUGUGACUUUACACUAAGCUUCCCCAUCUGUAAAAUGAUAAUAUUAAUACCUAUCUGAGAGGGGUGGGUUUUUCUGGGUGGUGGGGGUACUAGGGAUUAAAUUCAGGGGCACUCAACCACUGAGCCACAUCCCCAGCCCUAUUUUGUGUUUUAUUUAGAGACAGGGUCUCACUGAGUUGCUUAGUGCCUCAUUGUUAAGGCUGGCUUUGAACUCAUUCAUGAUCCUCCUGCCUCAGCCUCCUGAGCUGCUGGGAUUACAGGCGUGCGCCACAGCGCCUGCCGGAGAGGGGUGUUUUUGAGAAGUAAAUGAAGUAAAGGAUUUUUCAUUAUACACUUAUUUAGAACAUUGGGGAAAUGGUCAUUGGAUUUAUUUCCUAGGGCUGCAGUGACCAAUCACUUCAAAUUGGGUGGCUUAAAACACUUUUCUCUCACAUAGUUCAGGAGACCAGAAAUCCAAAAUCAAGGUAUUGGCAGGGUUAAUUCUUUCUUGAGGCAAAAUCUGUUCUGUGCCCACCUCCACCUUGCUUCUGCUGAUUGCUUUUUAUUCCUUGACUCGUAUCUGUAUCUUUCCAAUCUCUGCCUCUGUUAUUUCAUGGCCUUCCUGUGUCUCCGUGUCCUGCUUCCACACAAGGACACCAGUCUUGGGGUUAGAGCCCACACUAAUCCAAUAUGCCUUCCUUUUAACUUUACUAAUUACAUGGGUGAAAACUCCAUUUCCGAAUCUUUGGGGGGAAUUACUCAGUCCAGGACAGUCACAGAAACUAGGAAAGCCUGAGAGAAUGGGGUCUCCACUGGCUCUCUCUGUGCUGGUCAAGUCUCACAGAGUAUCACGAGUGUCUUAGAAUGGUUCCAAGCCUUUCUUGGAAGAAAUACCCUUUCUCUUAAAUUAAAAAGGGGCUUGUGUGUCACACAGCCUGAGGCAAUCCACAUUCCCUUGCUUGAUUCUCAUUUUCUCCUCUGUGAAAGGGAGUUAAUCAAUCACCCAAGAAGUGCUGAUGGACUCCCUACAUGAUGUCCAACAACAUGGCACUAACAAUGACAAAAAAUUGCCGUUGAGAUGGCUGGUGGAUGUGGAGAGGUCACCCAUGAGGUUGGAAUUGUCUAGUCAUACACACUCGAUUCUCAGAUGACCUCAUGAAUUGAACACUGCUGCGGAGACGGAAAACAAAAUUACAAACUGCAAGAGAGAGAGAGAGAGAGAGAGGGUGUCCUUACCACACUAGGGCCUUCAAGGCGGCAGGGGCUGGGGAAGGUCCUCUCUCCUUAGAUAUCACAUUUUUCUUUUCCUUAGCUCUUCAUAAAAACGGGUGUGAGGAAGAAGAAGAAGAAAAGUAGGGAGACAAGAGAAAAGGCAGCAGCUUCACUGACUGAAGGACAGAGCAGAUUGCUGGGGUUGUUCCUCGGUUCCCAGAAGGUCUCACAUUUCCUUUUCUAGCACUUGGCAGCAGCAUUUGUUCUUGGGGAGUGACCAGGUCUCAUCACUGCCGUGAACUAAAGCCACAAACCAAGUUGAUAAGCCCCCUGUUCCCAGCAAAAAGCUCUGUGCUCAUGUCGUUUUGUGUCUUUUUUAAAUCCACAGGAGGAGGGACCUUACAUCUAAUCCACUUACCUGCCACAAGCAACGUGGCAGAGAAUUCCCCACCUGAGACUUUGGUGCACAAGUUUUCUGUGAAUUUGUCAGUAUCAUUGUCACCUGUGAUCCCAGGAUUUCCCCAGAUAAUCAACUCCAAUCCCCUCACUGAAGCCUUCAGGGUGAACUGGCUGUCGGGCACUGACUUUGAGGUAAGCUGCCUUUCACCAGCUCCACCCACAGG